This 82-nucleotide non-coding RNA is filed under the name Paramoeba aestuarina. The record is from RNAcentral. Lineage: Eukaryota; Discosea; Flabellinia; Dactylopodida; Paramoebidae.
GAACAUUUUAUUUAAUCAAAUUUUAAAAUUGAUGUUUUAUUUUUUUAAAAAAGUCAUUUUCAAUUCAAAAAGAAAGAAAUGA